Molecule: ribosomal RNA, 996 nt
Filed under: uncultured bacterium
Lineage: Bacteria
Description: bacterial SSU rRNA
Rfam family: Bacterial small subunit ribosomal RNA
Source: RNAcentral
AGAGUUUGAUCCUGGCUCAGGAUGAACGCUAAGGCCUAACACAUGCAAGUCGAGGGGUAAGAAUGCAGUCGAACGGGACUUUUUUCUGUAGCAAUACAGGAAAAAGUCUAGUGGCGAACGGGUGCGUAACACGUGAGCAACCUGCCGUGAAGUGGGGGAUAGCUCGCCGAAAGGCGAAUUAAUACCGCAUGUGGCCAAGGAAGACAUCUUCCUGACGCCAAAGCCGGGGCAACCUGGCGCUUCUCGAGGGGCUCGCGGCCUAUCAGCUUGUUGGUGAGGUAACGGCUCACCAAGGCUAUGACGGGUAGCUGGUCUGAGAGGACGACCAGCCACACUGGAACUGAGACACGGUCCAGACACCUACGGGUGGCAGCAGUCGAGAAUUUUUCACAAUGGGGGAAACCCUGAUGGAGCGACGCCGCGUGGAGGAUGAAGGUUUUCGGAUUGUAAACUCCUGUCAUUAGAGAACAAGGCACACGGCUUGACUGGCCGUGUGUUGAUAGUAUCUGAAGAGGAAGAGACGGCUAACUCUGUGCCAGCAGCCGCGGUAAUACAGAGGUCUCAAGCGUUGUUCGGAUUCAUUGGGCGUAAAGGGUGCGUAGGUGGCGAUGUAAGUCGGAUGUGAAAUCUCCAAGCUUAACUUGGAAACUGCAUUCGAUACUGCGUUGCUAGAGGACUGUAGAGGGCAUUGGAAUUCACGGUGUAGCAGUGAAAUGCGUAGAUAUCGUGAGGAAGACCAGUGGCGAAGGCGAAUGCCUGGGCAGUUCCUGACACUGAGGCACGAAGGCCAGGGGAGCAAACGGGAUUAGAUACCCCGGUAGUCCUGGCAGUAAACGGUGCACGCUUGGUGUGGGGGGAUUCGACCCCUCCCGUGCCGGAGCCAACGCGUUAAGCGUGCCGCCUGGGGAGUACGGUCGCAAGAUUAAAACUCAAAGGAAUUGACGGGGACCCGCACAAGCGGUGGAGUAUGUGGCUUAAUUCGAUGCAACGCGAAGA